GAUUAAGCCAUGCAUGUGUAAGUAUAAAUAGUUAACUUUGAAACUGCGAAUGGCUCAUUAUAUCAGUUAUAGUUUAUUUGAUGAAGAAUACUAAUUGGAUAACCGUAGUAAUUCUAGAGCUAAUACAUGUAUAAAGUCUUGUAGACUGCAUUUAUUAGAAUGAAAACCAUAGGUUUCGGCCUAUUCGUGAGUAAUAAUAACUAAUCAUAUCGUAUGCUUAUGUAAGCGAUGUGUCUUUCAAGUUUCUGCCCUAUCAGCUUUCGAUGGUAGUGUAUUGGACUACCAUG
This 287-nucleotide ribosomal RNA is filed under the name Blastocystis sp. Its description in RNAcentral is "partial 18S ribosomal RNA". It matches the Rfam family "Eukaryotic small subunit ribosomal RNA", at positions 42 to 348 of the family's 1831-position model. The record is from RNAcentral. Lineage: Eukaryota; Bigyra; Opalinata; Blastocystidae.